UACGUAGGGUCCAAGCGUUAUCCGGAAUCACUGGGCGUAAAGCGUGCGUAGGUGGAUUGUUAAGUGCGAUGCGAAAUCCUGUGGCUCAACCAUAUGGACUGUAUCGCAUACUGGCAAUCUUGAGGACAUGAGAGGCAAGUGGAAUUACUGGUGUAGCAGUGAAAUGCGUAGAGAUCCGGAAGAACACCGGUGGCGAAGGCGGUCUGCUGGGCAGUAGCUGACACUGAUGCGCGACAGCGUGGGGAGCAAACAGG
This 254-nucleotide ribosomal RNA is filed under the name uncultured bacterium. Its description in RNAcentral is "partial 16S ribosomal RNA". It matches the Rfam family "Bacterial small subunit ribosomal RNA", at positions 524 to 776 of the family's 1533-position model. The record is from RNAcentral.